Molecule: long non-coding RNA, 208 nt
Filed under: Physcomitrium patens
Lineage: Eukaryota; Viridiplantae; Streptophyta; Bryopsida; Funariales; Funariaceae
Description: long non-coding RNA (PPAT_LNC013802)
Source: RNAcentral
AGAUAUUUAAGAAAACCUUAUUGGUCUUCAAAAUCCUAAAUCCCGAGACCUUAGCUCAUAAAAUCUUCAUAUGUAUCGAUCUAGCCAUUCGAUUGACCUCAAACCUCUUAUACACAUUCACAACAAGCAUACCAAUAAGUCUCUAUAUUUUUAUCCAUAAAAAUGCUACAAAAUCACGAAAUCCAAAAAUUUGUAAACUGAUUUUAUU